RNAcentral lists this ribosomal RNA (498 nucleotides) under uncultured bacterium. RNAcentral's name for it is "partial 16S ribosomal RNA". It matches the Rfam family "Bacterial small subunit ribosomal RNA", at positions 30 to 523 of the family's 1533-position model. The record is from RNAcentral.
AUUGAACGCUGGCGGCAGGCCUAACACAUGCAAGUCGAGCGGUUGAGGUAGCUUGCUACCGAAGCAGCGGCGAACGGGUGAGUAAUGCAUGGGAAUCUGCCUGGUAGUGGGGGACAACGUUUCGAAAGGAACGCUAAUACCGCAUACGCCCUACGGGGGAAAGGGGGGGAUCUUCGGACCUCUCGCUAUCAGAUGAGCCCAUGCCGGAUUAGCUAGUUGGGGGGGUAAAGGCCCACCAAGGCGACGAUCGGUAGCUGGUCUGAGAGGAUGACCGGACACACUGGAACUGAGACACGGUCCAGACUCCUACGGGAGGCAGCAGUGGGGAAUAUUGGACAAUGGGGGCAACCCUGAUCCAGCCAUGCCGCGUGUGUGAAGAAGGCCUUAGGGUUGUAAAGCACUUUCAGUGGGGAGAAAGGUGAUUCACCUAAUACGUGAGUCAAUUGAUGCUACCCACAGAAGAAGCACCGGCUAACUCCGUGCCAGCCGCCGCCGUAA